This 54-nucleotide transfer RNA is filed under the name Citharoides macrolepis (twospot largescale flounder). RNAcentral describes it as "partial tRNA-Phe". The record is from RNAcentral. Lineage: Eukaryota; Metazoa; Chordata; Actinopteri; Pleuronectiformes; Citharidae.
AUUAAAGCCAUAACUCUGAAGAUGUUAAGAUAGGCCUUAAAAAGCCUCGAAAGC